AUACGGAGGGUGCAAGCGUUAAUCGGAAUUACUGGGCGUAAAGGGCGCGUAGGCGGUCUAUCAAGUCAGGUGUGAAAUCCCACGGCUCAACCGUGGAGGUGCAUCUGAAACUGAUAGACUUGAGUAUGGGAGAGGAAAGUGGAAUUCCCGGUGUAGAGGUGAAAUUCGUAGAUAUCGGGAGGAACACCAGUGGCGAAGGCGACUUUCUGGACCAAUUCUGACGCUGAGGCGCGAAAGCGUGGGGAGCAAACAGGAUUAGAAACCCUAGUAGUCC
This 274-nucleotide ribosomal RNA is filed under the name uncultured bacterium. Its description in RNAcentral is "partial 16S ribosomal RNA". It matches the Rfam family "Bacterial small subunit ribosomal RNA", at positions 523 to 796 of the family's 1533-position model. The record is from RNAcentral.